RNAcentral lists this long non-coding RNA (819 nucleotides) under Solanum tuberosum (potato). Its description in RNAcentral is "long non-coding RNA (STUB_LNC009306)". The record is from RNAcentral. Lineage: Eukaryota; Viridiplantae; Streptophyta; Magnoliopsida; Solanales; Solanaceae.
UCCUAUUGGGAACAUUAGAUCCUUCAGCUAAACAUCAUCCACUACUACUUACUAUUAUUUGUCAUUCUUUUUGAGGGAAGCUUAAACAUAUGUCAUACCAAGUACAUUCAAUGUUUCCUAAUAACAAGUGUAAAUAAGUUGAGGGUUUAUGGCGUAGAAAUCCAAGAAAAUAAUUUGAGCCCACCAUAUUUUGUUCAGGUUCUCUUUUAUUAUAUGAUCUUGGUCUCCAAGCAUAAGCGUAAAUAAAUAGCACUCUUAACGAAGUCCAUUAUACAGUAACUUGUAAUAAUUAGAUUAUACUCCCAAUUAAUGUAGAAGUAGGAAUUCCUCUCAUUAGUUUAUGUGCAAGAGAAUUAGCUCAGUAUUACCCUCCAGAAAAAUGGUCGAUUUUGGCUUUAACAGUCAAUAUUAACUAUUUUAUUUCUGUUGUAAUUAUUUGAAUAUCUUCAAAUGAAGAGUUAUCAAACUUGUAGAAUUUUCAGUUUCCUAAUCUCUAAAUUUAGCGUUAUAGAUAGUGAUUUUUAUUUUUGAAACAGGUAACUUUAAUUAUAGAUAGUGAUUUAUUCAAGUCCCUUUACUUAAAAAAUUGCUAACUUCAUCUACAAAAGGUGAAACAAAAAAAGACUAAAUUGGGACUGAACAUGUAUAUGAUAUCAAUAGGUUACCUGCGAAUCACAUUCCUACAUGAAAGCUAAACCAGAAAGUUAAUUAAACAGAACCUAAGCAUCAUGUAAUGCAAAACGAAAAGGGGACAGACCACAUGCUAAGUUAUGUAAAUGCAUUUCCGGGACACUGCUUUCUGGUAUCCACAUCAUGAAC